UACGGAGGGUGCAAGCGUUAUCCGGAUUCACUGGGUUUAAAGGGUGCGUAGGCGGUCAGGUAAGUCAGUGGUGAAAUCUCCGGGCUUAACCCGGAAACUGCCGUUGAUACUAUUUGUCUUGAAUAUAGUGGAGGUGAGCGGAAUAUGUCAUGUAGCGGUGAAAUGCUUAGAUAUGACAUAGAACAUCGAUUGCGAAGGCAGCUCGCUACACUAUUAUUGACACUGAGGCACGAAAGCGUGGGGAUCAAACAGG
Molecule: ribosomal RNA, 253 nt
Filed under: uncultured bacterium
Lineage: Bacteria
Description: partial 16S ribosomal RNA
Rfam family: Bacterial small subunit ribosomal RNA
Source: RNAcentral